Molecule: ribosomal RNA, 321 nt
Filed under: uncultured bacterium
Lineage: Bacteria
Description: bacterial SSU rRNA
Rfam family: Bacterial small subunit ribosomal RNA
Source: RNAcentral
AAUCAACGCUGGCGGCGUGCCUAACACAUGCAAGUCGAACGCGAAAGUCCCGCAAGGGAUUAGUAGAGUGGCAAACGGGUGAGUAACACGUGGGUGACCUGCCUUCGAGCGGGGGAUAACGUCCCGAAAGGGACGCUAGUACCGCAUAACAUCCUGCCUUUAAGAGGCGUGAUCAAAGCCGGGAUUCGCAAGAACCUGGCACUUGAAGAGGGGCCCGCGCCUGAUUAGCUAGUUGGGGGGUAAUGGCUUACCAAGGCAACGAUCAGUAUCCGGCCUGAGAGGGCGGACGGACACACUGGGACUGAGACACGGCCAGACUCC